Molecule: ribosomal RNA, 495 nt
Filed under: uncultured bacterium
Lineage: Bacteria
Description: partial 16S ribosomal RNA
Rfam family: Bacterial small subunit ribosomal RNA
Source: RNAcentral
GACGGACGCUGGCGGCGUGCCUAAUACAUGCAAGUAGAACGCUGAAGGAGGAGCUUGCUUCUCUGGAUGAGUUGCGAACGGGUGAGUAACGCGUAGGUAACCUGCCUGGUAGCGGGGGAUAACUAUUGGAAACGAUAGCUAAUACCGCAUAAUAGUAGAUGUUGCAUGACAUUUGCUUAAAAGGUGCAAUUGCAUCACUACCAGAUGGACCUGCGUUGUAUUAGCUAGUUGGUGGGGUAACGGCUCACCAAGGCGACGAUACAUAGCCGACCUGAGAGGGUGAUCGGCCACACUGGGACUGAGACACGGCCCAGACUCCUACGGGAGGCAGCAGUAGGGAAUCUUCGGCAAUGGACGGAAGUCUGACCGAGCAACGCCGCGUGAGUGAAGAAGGUUUUCGGAUCGUAAAGCUCUGUUGUAAGAGAAGAACGAGUGUGAGAGUGGAAAGUUCACACUGUGACGGUAUCUUACCAGAAAGGGACGGCUAACUACGUG